UACGGAGGGUGCAAGCGUUGUCCGGAUUUAUUGGGUUUAAAGGGUGCGUAGGCGGCCUUGUAAGUCAGUGGUGAAAGCCUCCAGCUCAACUGGAGAGCUGCCAUUGAUACUGCAAGGCUUGAGUACAGACGAGGUUGGCGGAAUUGAUUGUGUAGCGGUGAAAUGCAUAGAUACAAUCAAGAACUCCGAUUGCGUAGGCAGCUAACUAGGCUGUAACUGACGCUGAGGCACGAAAGCGUGGGGAGCGAACAGG
This 253-nucleotide ribosomal RNA is filed under the name uncultured bacterium. RNAcentral describes it as "partial 16S ribosomal RNA". It matches the Rfam family "Bacterial small subunit ribosomal RNA", at positions 524 to 776 of the family's 1533-position model. The record is from RNAcentral.